Molecule: long non-coding RNA, 89 nt
Organism: Sinocyclocheilus rhinocerous
Lineage: Eukaryota; Metazoa; Chordata; Actinopteri; Cypriniformes; Cyprinidae
Exons: 3
Source: RefSeq, a predicted model, not a curated record
AUUAUCGGCCGAUAUGAUCGACCGCCGAUCAAUCAUCCCAACGGGAUUAUCGGCCAAUAGUGAUCAGUAGCCGAUCAAUCGGAGCACCC